This 321-nucleotide ribosomal RNA is filed under the name Hyalonema obtusum. RNAcentral's name for it is "partial 16S ribosomal RNA". It matches the Rfam family "Bacterial large subunit ribosomal RNA", at positions 1808 to 2476 of the family's 2925-position model. Lineage: Eukaryota; Metazoa; Porifera; Hexactinellida; Amphidiscosida; Hyalonematidae. The record is from RNAcentral.
CAAAAACAUAGCCAACAGAAAAAAUUAAUGUCAGUGAAACCUGCUCCAUGAAAAUAGCUGCGGUAACCGUGACCGUACUAAGGUAGCAUAAUAAAUCGUCUAUUAAUUGUAGAAUAGAAUGAAGGUCAAACGAAAAUUCAACUGUCUCAAAAAACACUUGUGAAAAUAAAAAGUGUGUGAAUAUACACACACAAACGGCAAGACGAUAAGACCCUACGAACUUUAAAUAAUACGUUUCGUUGGGGCAACGACCUUAAAAAAGUAACUAAGGUAAAACCCAUUAAACAAUUAAUGCAAUAAAAUAAAAGUUCCGUAGGGAUA